RNAcentral lists this ribosomal RNA (253 nucleotides) under uncultured bacterium. Its description in RNAcentral is "partial 16S ribosomal RNA". It matches the Rfam family "Bacterial small subunit ribosomal RNA", at positions 524 to 776 of the family's 1533-position model. The record is from RNAcentral.
UACGUAGGGGGCAAGCGUUGUCCGGAAUCAUUGGGCGUAAAGAGCGUGUAGGCGGUCCGGUAAGUCGGCUGUGAAAGUCCAGGGCUCAACCCUGGGAUGCCGGUCGAUACUGCCGGACUAGAGUUCGGAAGAGGCGAGUGGAACUCCCGGUGUAGCGGUGAAAUGCGCAGAUAUCGGGAGGAACACCUAUGGCGAAGGCAGCUCGCUGGGACGUUACUGACGCUGAGACGCGAAAGCGUGGGGAGCAAACAGG